GGAUUGGUGGCCAAAUAGCUACCGCUUCUGCUUCAUAAGCAGAAGGUCAUGGGUUCAAUCCCAGGCCCGUCCC
RNAcentral lists this transfer RNA (73 nucleotides) under Aedes aegypti (yellow fever mosquito). It matches the Rfam family "tRNA". Rfam says of the family: Transfer RNA (tRNA) molecules are approximately 80 nucleotides in length. Their secondary structure includes four short double-helical elements and three loops (D, anti-codon, and T loops). The record is from Rfam by way of RNAcentral. Lineage: Eukaryota; Metazoa; Arthropoda; Insecta; Diptera; Culicidae.